RNAcentral lists this long non-coding RNA (1049 nucleotides) under Heterocephalus glaber (naked mole-rat). RNAcentral describes it as "lncRNA (ENSHGLG00100033422.1)". The record is from RNAcentral. Lineage: Eukaryota; Metazoa; Chordata; Mammalia; Rodentia; Bathyergidae.
UUGGGACCUUGUGCUUGUGAGGCAGGUGGUGGAACCACUGAGCUAAAUCCCCGGGCCAGGAGUGGGUUGUUUUUUAUCUUCUUACUUUGUGUCUUAUAUUUUUUGACUGAAUGACAAGUGUUGGAUUUGGCCAGUAGCGUACAAGACAGGUAGUGGGCAAGGAAACCGGUGGUCACAUGCUGGUGGCGUGGACUUGUGCUGAAAAGAAGGUAUACCCUGAUCUGUCUUCCUUCAGGAGGCCUGGACAUGAGGCCCUUCUCAGAGCUGGGAUUGCAGGUGUGUGCCACUAGAUUUUCUCUUCUGAGGUGCAAAGCAGUCCUUUGUUUACCAGCACGACAGUGCCACCUUUGGGCCAGCAGGGUGGACGUGUGCAGUCCUUUGAAAGCCUGCAGAUCAGGCUCCUGGCUUCCUCUCUUGCUGGGGGCGCUCUUCCCUCUCAGGGAGCUUCCUUCAGUCAGAGCAAGGACCUUGUGCUUUCGAGGAGGCAGCUGCAGCACCACUGAGCUACAUCCCCCAGCCCAUCUGUCCCCUUCUUUGAUACUGCCAUUGAUGAAUGAUUUUGCUGGAGGAGGAACACAGUGGUCGGAUCUAACUGAAAUACUGUGUGCAGUGUCUGUGCAUAUGUAUGGUAUGUGUGGGUGCCUGGUAUGCGUACAAGUGAUUGAUCUGAACAGUGUGCGUGGGUGUUAACUGUGCAUCUGUGUAUGUGGUGUGCGCGCACAUGUGGCAUGUGUGGUGUGUUUGCACUGUGAUGUGCUGUUGAGUUCCAGCGGAGGUUGAUUCUCUUGGGAUGAGUAACAGCUCCUACCAGGGCUCCCCACCAGUGCCUGUCCCACCCUCACCUCCUGUCAGCCUCCACCUCUCUUAUCUCCUGUAAGGAAUCUGGAGUAAUGCACCUUCCAAAUGUGGCUGUGGUGAUUGAACCCACCCACCUCAUUUCUUGGAGAACAAUGCUUCUAGGAAGUGCAGAUGUACAGUGUGGCAGGUACCAGCCACUGUGCGACAGAAACAGGCUCCCCAGACCAGCCAGUUCCCUUGAGGAAGGGCCU